This 135-nucleotide small nucleolar RNA is filed under the name Propithecus coquereli (Coquerel's sifaka). RNAcentral's name for it is "Small nucleolar RNA SNORA51 (ENSPCOG00000006517.1)". It matches the Rfam family "Small nucleolar RNA SNORA51". From Rfam's summary of the family: ACA51 is a member of the H/ACA class of snoRNA that guide the sites of modification of uridines to pseudouridines. Lineage: Eukaryota; Metazoa; Chordata; Mammalia; Primates; Indriidae. The record is from Rfam by way of RNAcentral.
AGCAGCCUAGUGCUUACCACAGGCUGUGUUCUUACACUGACUAUACAGAAAGAUGAAGUACAAUAAACCUACCACAUACACACCCCAAACCAGGCCCUGUGCCUGCCUGGUCUGUACUGUGAAUGGGGGAUAUGG